Paramuricea clavata is the source of this 112-nucleotide non-coding RNA. The record is from the annotation of a GenBank genome assembly. Lineage: Eukaryota; Metazoa; Cnidaria; Anthozoa; Malacalcyonacea; Plexauridae.
AAGGUUUCUAUGAUUUCCCUUGUCUAUCACUUUAGCAUUGGCAUGGACUCAAGACCAUAUAAUUGACUUUGCCAAUGCUAAAGUGAUAGACAAGGGAAAUCAUAGAAACCUU